This 468-nucleotide ribosomal RNA is filed under the name uncultured bacterium. RNAcentral describes it as "partial 16S ribosomal RNA". It matches the Rfam family "Bacterial small subunit ribosomal RNA", at positions 28 to 507 of the family's 1533-position model. The record is from RNAcentral.
GACGAACGCUGGCGGCGUGCUUAACACAUGCAAGUCGAACGGAAAGGCCCUGCUUUUGUGGGGUGCUCGAGUGGCGAACGGGUGAGUAACACGUGAGUAACCUGCCCUGGACUUUGGGAUAACUUCGGGAAACUGGGGCAAAUACCGGAUAGGAGCUCCUGCUGAAUGGUGGGGGUGGGAAAGUUUCGGCGGUUGGGGAUGGACUCGCGGCUUAUCAGCUUGUUGGUGGGGUAGUGGCUUACCAAGGCUUUGACGGGUAGCCGGCCUGAGAGGGUGACCGGCCACAUUGGGACUGAGAUACGGCCCAGACUCCUACGGGAGGCAGCAGUGGGGAAUAUUGCACAAUGGGCGGAAGCCUGAUGCAGCAACGCCGCGUGCGGGAUGACGGCCUUCGGGUUGUAAACCGCUUUCGCCUGUGACGAAGCGUGAGUGACGGUAAUGGGUAAAGAAGCACCGGCUAACUACGUG